AGUAGCGAAUGGCAGACCAGCAGCUCCUUGUGAUCCUACAGAUGCGUCGUUCUCUUGUGCCUCCUGCACUCCUCAUGAUUCAAGUGCAUACACCAUGGCAGCAGCUUGCAAAGUUCGACAGAAUGCUCAUGAGGAGACUUGGGCAGCAACAUAAAGAUAGUAGUUGUCUGAUCUGCCUGUAGUGCUCUAACCAGUAACCACAUGAAGAACAGGCCUACUCUUCUGCCAGGCUCUAAUUGGCUGAAGCAAAUUUCAGAUACGAAAGAAGAGCCCCAGCUGAGACUUACGCAACAAAGGUAAUAUAAUUGGUUCGCAUUGGAAAACAUGAGUGCUAUCUAUAACAAGAGGUUUAGCUUGGCCAAAUUAUGGAAGGGACGAGGUGAGUUCAUGGUACCUGAAGCUGAAUGUCAAUAUAGGAUCCUUAGCCCUUAUAAUUUCUUUUGAGAUGCUCUUUGCUACUAUUUGCAUGCUAUAUCAUUGUCUAUCGCCUAGAAUCCAAAUCAAUGUAAUCUGGAUGCCAGGUUGCAAUGUUAAUUGUGAGUGUGGAUAGCCCAUGCAUAUCAAAUUCAGAUGGUAUAUAGUAUAGAUCCAACCGAUUACUGAGCAAGAAGAUGAAACAAAGCAAGGCAAGAAUGUCGCAACUUCCGGACUGGUCCUACUACUAGAUAGAAAGAUAACCAACAAUAAUUUGAAGCUAUACCAUGGCUAAAUGGUAUGAAUUACACAAAUACUAAUUGUGUAUAAUGCGGCUAACUGUAAGUAUAUAUGUUCUGGUGAAAAAUAAUGGAAAAGAGAGAAGCAUAAUUAGAUUAAAAAACUUCAUUAUUCUCCAUUUAUGCUUACUAUUAUUGCAUUUGAUUUACAUAUGUUGAACGGAAUUUACAACAGCUCUUGUGAGUUUUGAUUCUCAGUUGAGAAUUACUUAAAGAGCCACAUGAUUGUUUGUCUGAAUCUUUGCUUGAAUCUGUUUUGUUCAAUACAUAAGGCACAAGAAUAUACCUACAUAUAUAGAUAGAUAUGCAUUCUAAUUAGAAAAUAGUACCUAUGGAUCUAGCUUGGAAUCGGAUAUAAUUAUAUAUUGGUUCUAGAUUUUCUUUUAUUGAACAUAACUCUAAUGUAU
Long non-coding RNA from Panicum hallii, 1120 nucleotides. RefSeq lists it as uncharacterized. Lineage: Eukaryota; Viridiplantae; Streptophyta; Magnoliopsida; Poales; Poaceae. The transcript is spliced from 4 exons. The record is from RefSeq and is a predicted model, not a curated record.